This is a long non-coding RNA of Perca fluviatilis (European perch), 516 nucleotides long. RefSeq lists it as uncharacterized. NCBI's taxonomy places the organism in Eukaryota, Metazoa, Chordata, Actinopteri, Perciformes, Percidae. The record is from RefSeq and is a predicted model, not a curated record. The transcript has 2 exons.
CCAAGAGCAAGCAUUCAGUGGCGAGGAAAAACUCCCUUUUAGGCAGAAACCUCGGGUGGUGAGGGAAACUUCCUUUUUAGGGAGAAUCCUCGGACAGACCCAGGCUCUUGUUAGGCGGUGUCUGACGGUGCCGGUUGGGGGUGUGAUGAACAGUGGCAAUUAUAGUCACAACUGAUGAAAGCCCUUGCAUUUGCAGUAUUACGAACUGGGUGUCGGGCGGCAUUCCCGGGAAAACUCACAAGCGGUUUGGAUCGGAGAUCCCAAAACAAACCUGCAACGAUUACUGCUUAUUGUCAAAAGCCUCUUUCCGACCAAGUAGUUACAGGAACGUAGUUAAACAGUUCUACUAACUACUCUUCCCCCAAAACCGGUUUUGCCAAGAUAGAAGAGCAGAGCGCAACAGGCAAACGAAACAACGGACGUUGCUAGGUCACUAAGGGUUCCUAUGCGGAAAAGGAAAAUAACCCUGCCCUGAAGUAGGAGCUGAAAGAGUUACAGGAACUGCGGUCAGAGGAA